UUUCCUUUAUAAAUAGCUACAAACUUUCACGUACACCUAAUUUUGAACCCUUGGUCUCUCUUAAGUAGAAACAAAAUCCGAACCAACACUUUGACGUACAUACUUCCGCCGCCGAUGUUGUUUUCUGUACAUACACUACAAAAGAGCACGGUUUUUUUGUUAUUUGAGUCAACAAAAACCACACACCACACAAGUCAGAAACCAGAAAAUAGCAAGACACACAAUUGGAAGCAAUUCAAAGCGAAAUUGAAAACGACGAUGAAAAGAAGAGAAACUGUCUGCACCGAAAGCGCCCCCUCCGCGUCGGAUCUAAACGAUCUCCAAGAAGCCACCGCACACAGCGGAAUCACACGAUCCCGCACGCCGUUAUACCACAUCAAGAUCGACCGCCACAGAAGUCGGUCCCCUUCGCUUUUCCGAACUGAAUCGCUCCGUCACGUAUGAAGACCGACGCCGCUACUAUCCGCUGCUGAUCCGGUAACCCUUUCUGCGUUUUGGCAUCCCUAAAUCCUGUGUUGUUAUCUAUUUAUUAAAUGUUGUGGGUUUUGAGAUUUUUGUUUAAAUGAAAUUUGAGAAUGAAGAACAUGAUGCUAUUGGGGAGAAAGAGAUAUGUGUGGGUCUGUGAUAUUGUUGUGGUUAAUUAUCUCUAUUUCUAACACUGGUUUUUUUUAAAUUAAUUUUAUUGCCACUUGUCAUAGUUUAAUUGGCUGGAGUUAAAGAGUUAUGAAAGGUCAAAAUUCAUUUGUUUUUUCUUUUAAUAAUUGUUUUGUUCAUGAGAGAAACAACAGCAAGGAUGUAGCACCCCUGGCCUGUACGUUUCUUUUACUUCUUUUACCUUUUUUUUUUUUUUUUCUAUUUUAUAUAUUAUGAUUAUUAUAUGAUAAUGAAAGUUUUGUGUAAAAAAAAAAAGAGGAGGAAAAUUCAAAAGCUCAAAUAAUGAUUAAUUAGUUUCAUCAUAUUAAAUAAAAAAUACAUACACAAAAAAAAUAUCUUUAUUUAGUAGUUUCUCUUUAGAAUCUAAUGUCUAUUGCGAGGUACAUUCAACUGUUUAUCUAUUCUCGAGGAUACUCAAAUAAUGAUUAAUUAGUUGUUAAUAUUUUUGAUAUUUUCUCAUCUGCUAUUUGCUGGCCCGUACCAUCUUUUUCUUGUCUAUUGCGAGGUACAUUCAACUGUUUAUCUAUUCUCGAGGAUACUCGCAAAUUAUCAAACUUUUCAGGGUUAUCCUCAGGAUCAUCCGACUACGCGCUAUAUCAGAUCAAAAAGCUAAGUCUUUGAUUUUAUUAUUUUAAAUAUCAUUUUAUUUUUCCUUUAAUUUAAUUACUCUUCCUUUUUUUUUAUUUUUACUCUUUUGGCAAAUGAACUCUGCAUACACUCACAUCUAUUUUUCUGUCUUUGCCUUGCCACUUUUCAGGGUUAACCUUGAGGCUUCCUCCGACCGCCAAUCAUGUCAGAUCAAAUUCAAAGUUAAGUGUUGGUUUAUUUAUGUAUUCAUUUUUUAUUUCUUUAUCCUUUUGUUGUUUAGGGUUAGUUUUGUUUAUCUCCGAACCGAUAAUGCACUCACCCUACUUUUGCUUUUUUUUUUUUACUGUUUCUUCAGGGUUUGUCAAUUGCAAAAACUACGAAUAUCGGUAACCCUAAACCCUGACCUCAAUUAUUACUUAUGUCAAACCCUAUUAAGGGAUCCGCUGGUUACAAUUUCCCUCCCCCAUAUCUGUUUUGGUUAUAUUAUUUAAAUGCGUGGUUAGUAAUCCUAGGGAGUGCAACCUUUGAAUUUAACAUAGAAUCACUAAUUUUACAAGAUAAUAUAUUCGAAUAUGAUCACGUGAUUGAUGCACACACGCACACUUUUGGGUAACCUCUCUGUUGCCUUGUUGCCUGUUGCCUGUUGCCUUUGCCUUGUGUAUUUUUUGCAGAAUAGCCAGUCCCUCGAAUACGAGGAUACCUCAGCCAUGUUGCCUCGAUUAAAGGUCAUGUUCCCUAAUGAUGCUGCCUUCGAUACACUAACAUGACCUCGACCCUCGGAAGUUGCCUAUGAAAAAGGCUGAGGUAUCCUCUGGUUGCCUACGAAAGGCUAUUCUGAUCCUUCCUCUUAGACUACCUGCCUCUUUAUGGCAUGGGCCAGUCUUUGAGCGAAUGAUAAUUCGAUGACCCUUCUACCUCCAAACGAAAGGCUUCCUGCCCUCUUAUGGCAAGGAUUGACCCUUUCAUUCUGAAAGGGUAAAAAGAGACCUAUCAUCUGAGUUUAAGGUAAUUGCCCCUAAUUGCCUUGCCAUGCUCUAUUUUCUAUAUUCUUUCUCAAAAUUCUUCAAAAAUUGGCUACGCUCAUUUUACGAGCUAAUGUCCAUUUUUUCCUCUUUCAUCUACAUUUUCUGAAAACGAGCAAGUAAAGCAAUUAAGAGCCCAUGGAAAACCAUGGAUGCAAAGGGUGCCUUACACCUUCCCUUUGCAUAAAUUACCCCCCGAACUUAGAUUUCUUUAAAAGGUUUUUUUCUGUUUCUUUUAGCCUUUCUGAAUUUGUUUGGAUAAAAUAAAAGUCGGUGGCGACUCAUGCUUAACCGCGACAUUUUCGA
Molecule: long non-coding RNA, 2570 nt
Organism: Vicia villosa (hairy vetch)
Lineage: Eukaryota; Viridiplantae; Streptophyta; Magnoliopsida; Fabales; Fabaceae
Exons: 2
Source: RefSeq, a predicted model, not a curated record